AUACGGAGGAUGCGAGCGUUAUCCGGAUUUAUUGGGUUUAAAGGGUGCGUAGGCGGAAAGUUAAGUCAGCGGUGAAACGCAGGUGCUCAACACCUGACCUGCCGUUGAGACUGGUUUUCUAGAAUGCGGAUGCUGUGGGAGGAAUGUGUGGUGUAGCGGUGAAAUGCAUAGAUAUCACACAGAACACCGAUUGCGAAGGCAUCUCACAAAUCCGCGAUUGACGCUGAGGCACGAAGGUGCGGGGAUCGAACAGGAUUAGAUACCCUGGUAGUCCGCACAGUAAACGAUGAUAACUCGCUGUCGGCGAUAGACAGUCGGUGGCCAAGCGAAAGCGAUAAGUUAUCCACCUGGGGAGUACGACCGCAAGGUUGAAACUCAAAUGAAUUGACGGGG
Molecule: ribosomal RNA, 393 nt
Filed under: uncultured bacterium
Lineage: Bacteria
Description: partial 16S ribosomal RNA
Rfam family: Bacterial small subunit ribosomal RNA
Source: RNAcentral